Molecule: ribosomal RNA, 253 nt
Filed under: uncultured bacterium
Lineage: Bacteria
Description: partial 16S ribosomal RNA
Rfam family: Bacterial small subunit ribosomal RNA
Source: RNAcentral
UACAGAGGGUGCGAGCGUUGUCCGGAAUCACUGGGCGUAAAGGGCGCGUAGGUGGCGCGACAAGUCAGUGGUGAAAGCUCGACGCUCAACGUCGAGUCGGCCACUGAUACUGUUGGGCUUGAGCACUGUAGAGGCUAAUGGAAUUCCGGGUGUAGCGGUGGAAUGCGUAGAUAUCGGGAGGAACAUCAGUGGCGAAAGCGGCACCCUGGCAUUAGCCUGACGCUCAUGUGCGAAAGCGUGGGGAGCGAACGGG